GAUGGUGUGGCUCAGUGGUAGAGCACUUGCCUCGCAUGCUGAGGAACUGGGUUUGAUCCUCAGCACCUCA
This 70-nucleotide transfer RNA is filed under the name Marmota monax (woodchuck). It matches the Rfam family "tRNA". Rfam says of the family: Transfer RNA (tRNA) molecules are approximately 80 nucleotides in length. Lineage: Eukaryota; Metazoa; Chordata; Mammalia; Rodentia; Sciuridae. The record is from Rfam by way of RNAcentral.